AAAUAAUAAAUAAAAACAUCAAACCGCAACACGACUCAAGAAAUGCAUGAAAUGAAACAUGUAUGAAAAGUGCAGCACAAAGGAUGCGCCUUAAUGCGUGCGCCACUAGCCUUGGUCGCCGUAUAAUAUUCUACUAAGACGUUACUCCGACGAAAUUGUCGAGGAACUUCUAAAACAAAAAACCCUCUUAGUUUCUAUAUUAACACACACUGUAGUUAAUAACUAUCCUGGUACAAUUAGUCCGAGAACCGAUGUCUACAAUUGCUUCCGCGUGCCUUUUAAUCUAACUAGCGUCGCCCCCAGGAAUGGCUUGCGUAGCCAGAAUGUUUAAUUGUUCCUCUUUAGUGUGUGCUAGAUGGUAAAGAAUAAAACUGUUGAAACUA
This is a long non-coding RNA of Helicoverpa zea (corn earworm), 383 nucleotides long. RefSeq lists it as uncharacterized. The record is from RefSeq and is a predicted model, not a curated record. Lineage: Eukaryota; Metazoa; Arthropoda; Insecta; Lepidoptera; Noctuidae. The transcript has 2 exons.